CUGCAGCCUGUGGCCUACAGCCUCUCCAUGCCUCCUUUACCAUCUACGUGGGAAGCCCGCCCAAGUGCUGGGCGCUCCCUCUCCCCCUCAUCUGCACCCAUGGAGCCCUGAGUUGUCUCACAGCUGGUACCUUUAAAAGCUUUUGUUGCAGAGCAGACGAAAGAGAGCAAUGGAACAAACCAUUGCUUCCCAGUGGCGGUAGUGGUAAAGAAACCGCCUGCCAAUACAGGAGAUGUAAGAGAUUUGAUCAGGUUUGAUCUCUGGGUUGAGAAAAGCCUCUGCAGCGGGGCACGGCAAUCCACUCCAGUAUUCUUGCCUGCAGAAUCCCAUGGACAGAGGAGCCUGGCGGGCUACCGCCCGUAGGGGUCGCAAAGAAUCAGCCACGACUGAGCAACUACGCAUGCGUGAUCUCAGAAACUUGGUUUCCUGGAAACUGCUGCUUUUCUAAGAGGCCGCGGUGGUGCGGUGCGGUGCACGGGAGGGAGGAGAAAGCAAAUAGCAGUACCAAGUCCAUUUGCUGAUCUGGCCUAGUUAGAGCUGAGAGUCGGAGAGGAGAGAGCUCGGGUUCCUUCAAAAGGCAAAGGGUUCUCUGUCUGCGGGUUUAACGGCCAUAGGGUCUGCGGUGUGGCCUGCUGCGCUAGUAGUGGUCGCUGGGAUGGCCUUGUACGCCUGGAAGAAGAGCACUGAAAGACCAUGCCCUAAGAGGUCCUAGGUGGACAUCAGGUAAAAAUGAACAAGAACCCUAAAAUGUAUUGAAAGGAAUCCUCUCCCAGUCCCCUGCAGACUGGAGAGUCCACCUUCCUGGGGUCAGGAAUUCUUUGAAGCAACAUUUUAUCUUUGGGGUUUGAACAAAAUCAACUUGUGGGCAAAAAAAUAAAUUCAUUGAAUGUGCCUGACUCUAUUACAGAACUGGUGUCUGAAUCACAGGAUUCAGGGUCCUUGGAGGCCCAGCUCUAACCUGAGCAGCCCUGAACCAUCCCCACCCCAACCAGGCUCCUGACCCUUCUCCAGGGCUGCCUGGCCCGGGCCACCUCUCAGCCCAUGGGGAGCCUUUUGGGGCCUCUGUGCUCUGAAGCCCUGACAAGGGAAAAGCACCCGCUUUUCCUCUCCUGCACUCACAGUCACACACCAACACUUCUCACACCAGAUACGUGGGAUUUAUCACACCUGCCAGUUUUCCGAUUUACUGUGGACAGCAACUGAGAUGUUUAUGACAACUAUGCUUUGAUUUAUUUUACUGACGUAGAGUUGAUUUGCAAUGCUGUGUUAAUUCCUGCUGUUGUACAGCAAAGUGAUUCAGUUAUACGCAUAUAUAUAUAUAUAUAUACUCUUUUCAUAUUCUUUCCUGUUAUGAUUUAUUACAGGAUAUUAAAUAUAGUUCCCUGUGCUAUACAACAGGACCUUGUUGUUUAUCCAAUUUAUACAUAAUAAUUUGCAUCUGCUAAUCCCAAACUCCCACAUUUAUUAUUUUUUCUUUUCUUUUUCUUUUUAUCUGCAUGCUGGAUCCUAGUUCCCGGAACAGAGAUCAAUCAAACCUGUGCCCCCUGCAAUGGAAUCAUGAACUCCUAAACACCACAGGGAAUUCUCUGUUUUUUUAAAAAAAAUUUUUUAACUGAGAUUUAAUUCACAUGUCAUAAUAUUCACCAUUUUUUAUUUAAACAAAAAAAUUUUUGGCCACACAGCUUGCAGGAUCUCAGUUCCGCCACCAGGGAUGGAAUUCCCCUCCCACCACCACAUCCCUGCAGGGUUGUGAAAGCCCUGAAUCCUAACCACUAGACCAACAGGGAAUUCCCAGUAUUCACCAUUUUAGAGUGUACAGCUUUGUGGCUUUUAUUAAUAGUAUAUUUACAACCAUCACCAUUAUCUAAUCACAGAACGCCAUCAUAACCACCAAAGAAACCCAGUCCCCUUUCAGUGGUCACUCCUCAUUUCCCCCCAAAUCUCUCAGCCCCAGCCAUUGCUAGUCUACUUUCUGUGUCUAUGGAUUUGCCUUUUCUCUGCGUUUCACAUAAAUGGAACACGCAGUAUUUGUCAUUUACUGUCUGGCUUCUUUCACCCAGCAGUGAGGUCUCCCAGGUUCCUCCACGGUGUACAGGAAUCUGUAUUUGGUCCCUUAUUAUGGUGGCUCAGACAGUAAAGAAUCUGCGAGACAUGCGGGAGACCCGGGUUCCACCCCUGGGUCGCGAAGAUCCCCUGGAGAGGGAAAUGGCAACCCACUCCAGUAUUGUUGCCUGGAGAAUUCCAUAGACAGAGGAGCCCAGCAGGCUACAAGUCCAUAGGGUCACAAAGAGUCGGACACCACUGAAGCGACUUAGCACAGACACAACACAUGGCCGAGUAACGCUGCAUUGAGGGAUAGCCAGCAUUUAUUUAUCCACAUAUCAGUGGAUGGACAUCUGAGUCACGUCAUAUUUGUUUAACUGUUAUAAAUAAUUCAAAAAGCCUGAGGCUAAAUCCGGAUCACCUCAGGAUAGGCCAAGGAGUGAAACUGGCCAUGAAACAACUAUGUCAGAGGAUAAACAGGAAGUCUUCUAGUUAUUCAGUAAUGAGGUGGGGGGAACAGGAGACCAGAGAAACCAAAUAGCCCUUCUGUGUGCAUGACCUCUGUGCUUGUCCCAGGAGAGGUCCCAUGGGGGUCCCAUGCUGUCCCAUGGAGAGCAGACCCACGUUUCCCACCCGUGACACUGCAGCUGAUGCUCCUGGUGGCAAGGAAGGGGCGCGUGGGGGUGCCGUCUGAGCCAGCCGACCUCGGAGGCCCAUCCAGGUCCUUUGAGGCCCGGGCACCGGCUCUAACUUGUCUUCUGCAGGGGUUGGGGGAGGGUGGUGAUUCAUCCAGGAAGGAUCUCUGACAACCUGACAGAUGGCUGGCUAUCUGAAGAAUACAGGCGAUAACCUUCACUCCAAAGUCCUCCGACAUAAAGCUCAAUGCUAAUUGCAGGCCCCUCUUCCGUCUCCUUCCUCUCUUUCUUUUUUUCUUUCCUCCCUCCCUUCUUUCUUUCUUCCUUUCACAACACUUAUUUUUUACAAAAGCAAUGUCCUUGAAGUACAGUUGACACAGAAUAAAAUUUUCCUUUUGGAAAUAUACAUUAGUCACUAUUAGACAUGUAUUUGUUGAAUAAAUAAAUCCCAGGGGACUUCCCUGGUGGUCCAGUGGUUAAGAUUCCCAGCUUCCACUGCAGGGAGCAUGGACUUGAUCUGUGGUCAGGGAAUUAAGAUCCCACAUGCCAAAUAAAACUAUUUGAUAGGGGCAAUGAGAAAUUCAAUUUUCAAUCGAUUAAAAUUAUAGACAGGUCCGUAAGCAUUAUCAGGGUUUUGAAACAAUUUGGCAAUAUAUUUUAAAAAUAAAUAAAUUCCAAAACAGAGAAUCGAGCGGAAAGGGAGAAAUAAUCAAACCAUUAGAAACAAGUCAAAGCAAAUGCUAUGAAUUGAAUUGUGUCCCCACUCCCCACACAAAGAAGUUCAAGUCCUAAUCCCCAGUGCUUGUGAACAUGACCUUGUUUAGAAAUAAGGAGUUUGCCAUUAAGUCCUUAAGAUGAUCGUGUUAAGAUGAAGUUGCUAGGGUGGACCCAAUUCAAAUGACUUAUGUCCUUAUGAAGAGGGGAGAUAUGGACACAGAAAGGCACACGGGAGGACGCUCUGUGACGGUGACAACAGAGAUCGGGCUGACGCGUCUAGAAGCCAAGGAGGGAGGCCUGGAACAGACUCUCCCUCCCAGCCCUGAGAUGGUCGAUGGCACCACCCGCGUUUGAGCAUACUCCGGGAGACAGUGAAGGACGGGGAGCCUGGCGUGCUGCAGUCCACAGGGUCGCAAAGAGUCGGACACGACUGAACAACUGAACAACAACUCAGCCCUCAGAAGGAACCCACCCCGUCCACACCUUGACCUCAAAUUUCUGGCUUCCAGAGCUAUCAGAUGAGAAGUUUCUGUUGUUUCAGCCACUCCAUUUGUGAUCCUUUGUUCCGUACCACUGACACACUAAUACUAAUAUGGGAAGAAUUUGCUUAGGAUUAUUUUAUUUAUUUUUUAAAAAUUUUAUUUAUUGAUCUAUUUUUGGUUGUGCUGGGUCUUCGUUGUUGCAUCCAGGCUUUGUCUAGUUGGGAUGCGAGGGGUCCACUUUUCAUUGCGGCGCAAGGGCUUCUCAUUGUGGUAGCUUCUCUUGUGGAGCACAGGUUCUAGGCACAUGGGCUUCGGUAGUUGCAGCAUGUAGGCGCUAGGGUGCUCGGGCUUCAGUAAUUGUGGUACACGGGCUUUAGUUGCACAGGGCAUGUGGAAUCUUCCUGGACCAGGGGUCAAACCCAUGUCUCUUGCACUGGCAGGCGGUUCUUAGCCACUAUACCACCGGGGAAGGCCAGGAUGAUUUUUUAAAAAUCAAGAAACUCAAAUUGGAAAAGACCAUUAGAUUUAGCUGAAUAUGGAAUUCCCUGGUGGUGCAGUAGUUGCCCUGCUUGUACUGUCAAGGGCCCUGGUUUGAUUCCUGGUUGGGGACCAAGAUCUCACAAGUGUGUAAGGCGUGGCCAAUAAAUAAGUAAAUAUUCAGAUGUGUAGAUGCAUACACCAAUUUUCCCAACCACCUCCCCCACCAGAUGCAAAUGAUAAUGUUUCCAUCAAAUGUGGAUUGCUAGGGUUAACUGAAUUCAGUAAGGUUUCUUAAAUCAGUAAGGAAAAGAUGAACAAGUUCAUAGAAAAAUGAACAGCGCAGCAGGUCUCAAAGUGUAUUCUGGUGGCCUCUAGGGGUUCCCAAAGCCCUUUCAGGAGGCCCAUGAAUAUUUCAUAGUAUUAAUAAUACUGAGGCAAUUGUGGCCUUUUUCACUGUGAUGAGUUUGCACCAAUGAUGCGAAAGCAAUGAUGGUUCUUAGUGUGAAUCAAGGCAGUGACACCAAACUGACAGAAUUUGUUACCAAUAAUAAAGUUCUAAGGCUUUUGGCAAAAAGUACAAUUUUGGAGAUUGUAUCUGCCACCUUAAGCUUCACAACUUCCCAAUAUUGCCAGAGAGUUGCAAUAUUCAUGAAUGUUAUACUUUUUUUUUUCAUAUUGUGUAAUAGGAUGUGUCAACGGUCGCAAGAUCUACUCAGUGAACAAAUAUGUUUGGAAACACCAACAUGUGAUUUACAAAAUCACAUGUGAAUAAAAGAUCCUUUCAAAGCGCAAGAUAGAUCCAUGGGUUCUCAUGUAAUAGAGUACAAAAAGCACACAGAUAUCAGCUGAGAUUCCACGUUGCAGCUAACCUUCAAAAAACCACCACAUUCUGAGUGUCGGUGUAGUAUCAAAGAAGAAUAGCCGCAAUUAUCUGAAAAGGCUCUAAAAAGACUACUUUCUUUUCAAAGUUUUUUUUUAAUCUGAGGCUAAAUUUUCUUCAUGCACUUCAAUCAAAUCAAUGUAUUUUUAUAGAGUGAAGGCAGACACAGAUAUGAGAAGCCAGCUGUCUUUUCUCAAAUGUGAUAUUAAACAGAUUGUUUUUUGGGCCAUGCCACAAAUCAUGUGGGGUCUUAUUUCCCCAACCAAGGGUAGAACCGAUGCCCCCUGCAGUGGGAGUCCUGAAUC
Bos taurus (domestic cattle) is the source of this 5542-nucleotide long non-coding RNA. The record is from Ensembl. Lineage: Eukaryota; Metazoa; Chordata; Mammalia; Artiodactyla; Bovidae.